AUCACUUCUCGGCCUUUUGGCUAAGAUCAAGUGUAGUAUCUCACGUUAGAUACUUUUUAAUAAACCAAUGUGCACAAAAUGAGGAGGCUUUCCUUGUCUUUCAGAACUCUUCAAGGAUCUUGGAGAGUUUCUAGAUUGUCAACUAUGAAGGAGCUGAAUAC
This 161-nucleotide small nuclear RNA is filed under the name Ophiophagus hannah (king cobra). RNAcentral describes it as "U2 spliceosomal RNA". It matches the Rfam family "U2 spliceosomal RNA". Rfam says of the family: U2 is a small nuclear RNA (snRNA) component of the spliceosome (involved in pre-mRNA splicing). Complementary binding between U2 snRNA (in an area lying towards the 5' end but 3' to hairpin I) and the branchpoint sequence (BPS) of the intron results the bulging out of an unpaired adenosine, on the BPS, which initiates a nucleophilic attack at the intronic 5' splice site, thus starting the first of two transesterification reactions that mediate splicing. The record is from Rfam by way of RNAcentral. Lineage: Eukaryota; Metazoa; Chordata; Lepidosauria; Squamata; Elapidae.